UCAAGUUUUUGACCUAUCAGCUUACGACGGUAGGGUAUUGGCUUACCGUGGCAGCAACGGGUAACGGGGAAUUAGGGUUCGGUUCCGGAGAGGGAGCCUGAGAAACGGCUACCACAUCUAAGGAAGGCAGCAGGCGCGCAAAUUACCCAAUGAAAACAGUUUUGAGGUAGUGACGAGAAAUAACAAUACAGAGCAUUUAAAUGUUUUGUAAUUGGAAUGGUGGGAAUCUAAACCCCUUUCAGAGUAACAAUUGGAGGGAAAGUCUGGUGCCAGCAGCCGCGGUAAUUCCAGCUCCAAUAGCGUAUAUUUGAGUUGUUGCAGUUAAAAAGCUCGUAGUUGGAUUUCUGUCUUGGCUUUUACGUGUACUACAUGUAUAUUAAUUUAUAGAUGUUUUAUAACAGCGUUUAAACUUUGACAUAUUAUCCCAAUGUGUGUAUGUGUGUGUAUAUAUAGAGAAUUAGGUUUUAAGACCUUGAUUUAAUAUAUAUAUAUAUAUAUAAUCAUUGGGACUUUUACUUUGAGAAAAAUAGAGUGUUUCAAGCAGGUAUUUUUUUGCCUUGAAUACUGCAGCAUGGAAUAAUAAUAUAGGACUUUGGUUUUAUUUUGUUGGUUUCUAAGACUAGAGUAAUGAUUAAUAGGGACAGUUGGGGGCAUUCGUAUUUUACGGUCAGAGGUGAAAUUCUUAUAUUCGU
Molecule: ribosomal RNA, 692 nt
Filed under: Goussia sp.
Lineage: Eukaryota; Apicomplexa; Conoidasida; Eucoccidiorida; Eimeriidae
Description: SSU rRNA
Rfam family: Eukaryotic small subunit ribosomal RNA
Source: RNAcentral